CUGAAUUCAAUUCAGCAAAUGUAUCUCCCUGCUUUGCCAUGCAGCCUGCUGUCCUAGACACUUCAAGGGCUUAGAAAAUGAGCCACAUUCUCUGUCUGUAAACAGACGUUUGUGACAUCACACAUGUUACAUGCUCACAGCAGCUUGCCCGUUUUCUGGCUUGAACUUUUAUCACAUCAAAAAGACCAAUGCCUGGCCUUUUCUAGACAGAUAAACAACUCUGUACCUGGAACAAAAAGACAAACCUACCAGCUCCAUAGUUGCCUAACACUCCUCAGAGAGGAACCAAGUGGGCCCUGCCUGGAUGCUAAUGGCAAGUUUGGCUCUUGGGAGCUGAAACUAAAAGGGACAAUGUAUUGUGCUCACAGGUACUAUACACAGGAGGAGCCUGAAGCUGACUAUGAGCCAAGUCUGUAGAGAGCACCCAAAGUCAAGAUUCCUUUAAGUCUCUCAGUCUUCAAAACCAAAGGUGAAGCGUGGAACUGGAUCCGGAUGACAAAGCAGAAAGACAAGAACAUCCAAUAAUGAUGGCAAGUUGCAGCAGACACAGCCCCUGCCUGCACUCUGCCUGACCUCACCAGCACUUGGGCACCACAUCACCCAGGAAUACUACUCAGCUUGAUUGCAUACUCCUCAAACCCCUUUCCACAUAACCUGGUCAUUCAGAUUACCUGGGGCAUCAUCAGAAAACUACUUUAUCAGAGUAGUUCAUGAGAGAGGCUAAAAGUGAAGCUGGCAGAAGCUUAUUGACUUGUCCAAGUCAUAAGCUACUGGUAUCCAUUGCUGAAGAAAAAUUAUUCUGACUCUUGUUUAAAAUGGCAAGGAAGAGUUUAUGCAGGACUCUUGCAAGAGGGAGAAAGAUUGAGCUCAACGCUGAAUACAGCAAAGACAGGAAUUUACAGCCAGAGUGAGAGGAUCAGUAGAUGGAAAAUUCCUAAGAGGAGGUAUCAAGGGUAGGGGAAUUCUUGCUAAACUGGCUUAGCAGGAAUUUUGCUAAAGAAAGGUCAAGGUGGAGGCCUACUCAAGAAGAAGUUCGGAAAAGCCUGACUAAAGUUUGGUCGAAGGAGUCUUCAUCAUUGAGGGCUCUGUUUUCUAUUUUGUUUUGCUUUUUUCUUCCAACCAGUAUCUUCUGCCCCUAAGAGUUUGUACUGGUUAAUUGACAAAACCAGUCUUUGGUAGGGAGAGAAAAAAUAGUAAGAUAUGGCAGAGUUUAAAAUAGUUUCAUGGACUUAAGAAGAUUUUCUAACAAUUAAAACUGACAAGAAAAAUGUUUUCUGACUUCUAAAAUAUUUAUAAGAAAACAAAAGCAUGCUUCCCAUGAAAUGGUUAAAAAGACGUUUUUGAAAUGAUUGUCCUUACAAAUCUGUCAGAAAAUUAUACAAGUUUUGACCUCCGUCCAUCCACUUCCUACUCAAACAAAAAACAUGAAAUGAUGCCUCUGCUAAAAAUGGUCAAGCUUUACUUUCAUCCCUCCUCUCUCAAAUUUAAAAACAAAUUGCAAGAGGCUGAAGAAAACAUAUUAUUUUGAAAGUGUAGUUCAUUUCUCAAAGAUGUUAUUAUUUCCCUCAACAUACAGUAUGAGGUUUCGUGGGGUAGUCCAUGUAAUUUUUACAGCUAAGCAUAUGGUCUGAGGACAAAACAGUCAUGGUCCAUAGAAAGCCUGGAGACUUAACUCACAGCAUCCACUGCUUCACUGAAGUGGGCUGACAUUGAUUUCCUUAUAUAUCUGGGAAAGUUUAUGAAAGACUCUCUGUGAUGUAAGUAUCUUGGGGCUCUAUUCUUCACAGGAACCACGUGAAAAGAAGUAAGUCAUGGAACAUUUUUAUCUUUACAAAGGUUUAGUGUUAAAAUUCUGAUUGCCAAUUUGUACCAUAUUUAUGUUUAGUUGUGGAAGGGCUCAAUUCUCUCUAUGCACCUUGGCUUCUGGAUGUAAGGCAGAUACCCAUUUUUUUCCCCUUGGAAGAGAUGUUGGCAUUUGAGGUUGGGCCAAGAAAAGCUAAAGAGGCUAGGAAGCGCUUACAGAUGGAGAUAAUUAGCAUAUAAAAAAUAGGCCAGCCAGAUUUUUUUUUUUUUUUAAUCAGGAAGUAGUGGGGUAAAUGCUCUCUCUGGCAAGACUAUAGAAGCUGUGUGGACAGAGGAAAUGUGAUUCAAACCCUGGUAUGAGAAUGGUAUUUUACUUGAACCAGGUUUCAAAAGACUGGAGCAGGAGUUCCUUUUACUGAAAACCGUGGAGUUGGCGGGCUUUGUAGGGGCCUCCCUUCAAAUUCUGCUCCAAGGACACUGUUUUGAAUUUUGUUUGAAAGUCUUAGAAUGGGAGAUGUUUGGUUUCAGAAGACCCAGGAUAAACAUGGUGAACUCUAUUGCUUUCCAAUGCAUGGUAGCGGAAGUGGUAUUUCUGAUACCACCUCCCAUUGAAAGGGGAUUAUAGAAGAAGGUGGGAACCAUGGCCCUAGAACAAAACUGCUCAGGCUUCCAAGGGCUAUUUUGCCAAUCCUAAAGCAAAGGCCUGAGGCUGAUCUGGAUUCAGCUGCUAUCAAUGGGGUACGCUUAAUUGCCAGAUAAUUCACUGUGGUUUCCUGAAGUUCUGAUUCAGAGUCAGCCUUUCAGGUCAUGUGUUCCACCCAUUUUCUGAAGUCUGCUGUUAUUCAAAACAGACUUAAGGGAUGUCUGUCCGGAGCAGGGCUUCUCAAUGGGUGGUAUGGGCAAUGAUGACUGAAUACGGAAUUAUCCAUGUGGGCCAGCGGAU
Long non-coding RNA from Equus caballus (horse), 2746 nucleotides. The record is from Ensembl. Lineage: Eukaryota; Metazoa; Chordata; Mammalia; Perissodactyla; Equidae.